CUGAAUUAAAACUCUCAGUUUUCCUUGACAAAAACCUUGGGCUCAUCUCCAAUUAGCUGAGUUCUUGUGCAAAACUUUACUUGUAUCCAUAACAUUCAAACAUCAUCGAAGCUUUCUGAUCUGCCGUGGGAAACGGUAAUAAAUGCUUGUAGCUUUCCUUAUCAUAGUGCUGAGGAAAGUAAGCAUCAGAGUAAUGCAAGUCCUUCUGAACAGACAUCGUCACACAAAAUUUGGCUCAGCUGCUCAGAUUGGAACAGCGAUGUUUGCUAUGAGAUCAAAGUGAUUGCUACUGAAGAAAUCCAAGGUAUUGGAUGUAUUGCUCGUCUAAGACACAAAAUUGGGAAAGCUGUGACUGAUGCUGGCCAAUAUGACAAACACCAAUUUGUGCAAGUCUCCGUUGCUUCUCAGAUACACCGUUCUCAUGAAGAAGUUGAUUGGCACAUGCUCUGUAGAUACGGUAAAACCAGGACAGAAGGAACACUGCUGGACCUGCAGCGCUAAGAAGCUGAGACAGGAGUACAGAUGCACUGAGUGAUAAUGGUGUCUUCAGGGAGCAGCAACGUCUUACUGCACUUGCAGAUUCAUUUAAAAACAUCUCUUUUACAUGAUACUGCAGAUUAGCUGUGCAAUGUAUUCUCUGUAAAUGAGGAAGAUAGAUAGAUGAGAAAACAAUUGCUUACCUGGAAAUUAGGACUUUGUCCAGGGUAUUAGCACAGCCCUCCCCAGGAAACAGCUUCAUCUGGUUUUGCUAGCAGAAGAUGAGAGUAUUGACGGUUAAUUCAUACGAGGAGAACCACCAAAUGUGUUAGGCAGUACUUCAGGAACCAUCCUCUUUGUGGUAACUACACUUCCAAUAGCUGCAUUCUGAAAUCCAAGUGACAGCUGGACUUCAUUUUGAAAGUUUAUUAAAAUAAGCUGUCUCUGCAGUUAUACCAUUACAUUUUACAGAGGUCUGCAACUGUUUCCAUUACAGCUAGCAAAAUUAACAGAUAAGAUACCCUGAAACAAGGAGACUUGUACUGUCUCCUUGUGGCUUCAAGCACUGGGCUCAUAUUUCUUAGAGUAACCUUGUAGGAUUCUAGAAUUUCAGUGCACAUUGUUCUCAGAACAUUUUCACUCUGGGGGUCAACCAUGCAUUGACCCAUCCCACUGGUACACA
Molecule: long non-coding RNA, 1159 nt
Filed under: Struthio camelus australis
Lineage: Eukaryota; Metazoa; Chordata; Aves; Struthioniformes; Struthionidae
Description: lncRNA (ENSSCUG00000011996.1)
Source: RNAcentral